CUGAGUUCUAUCUUACAGAGCAGGCCUUGGAAUCAAUCAUAAAGUUGUUGGUUGCUCACAUAACAUCUAUGCCACAAUUGCACCGAUGGACCUACCUCGUCAGGCCAGUCAUUGCUGUAGCUUACGGUGUUCACAGGUUGAGAACCAUGUGAAACAGUUUGAACAUCUGUCUUCUACUUUUCUUCAGGAAGCAUAAAUACAAUCAACCCACAGAAUUAAACUGCCCUGUUGUCAAUCAAUUAUUCAUUCUGGAUCUGCCAACAACCUCUCAUGCAAUGCACUUACAGGCUACUUCUUAUCUUCUCUUGGAAACAAUGUUCUCUUUGGAACAAUUCACGGUAGAAGUUUCAGGACACCAGAACCCUCUCAGCCGCCCUGUUGUGGGUCUCUUUCACUGUUCCUGUCAGCACUACAUAAAAAUCAGAUGUCAUGGAGACCUGGUUGGAAAACAGAGGCUGUGGGAGGUGGUUGAAAUGAGCAUUCUGCUGAUGCCUGUGUCUCCUGGAUGCUUUACCAUUCGCUCCUUGGCAAACUGUGGGCAAGUAGCUCCUUCCUCUGCUUCAACAUUUCCAUGUGAA
Peromyscus maniculatus bairdii (prairie deer mouse) is the source of this 578-nucleotide non-coding RNA. The record is from RefSeq and is a predicted model, not a curated record. NCBI's taxonomy places the organism in Eukaryota, Metazoa, Chordata, Mammalia, Rodentia, Cricetidae.